Molecule: small RNA, 1208 nt
Filed under: Arabidopsis thaliana (thale cress)
Lineage: Eukaryota; Viridiplantae; Streptophyta; Magnoliopsida; Brassicales; Brassicaceae
Description: ATSL194810
Source: RNAcentral
UAAAAUACAAUAAAAACUCUAAAGUGGAAUAGACAUACCAAAACCGAACCGGUUAACCGAAUAUCCAUCCCAAUUUAUUCCAAUUCAUUUGUUUGCAUCUGGUUCUGUUUGAGUAAGAUAUAGUUAGCAAUUAGCGAGCACCAAGUUUAUGGUACACGCGAGUGUAGGAGAAAACUAUCCCUUGGCAUUUCCUCUUGCAAAUAGACUCAUUAGCUUCCACAACAAGUAACUUUUUCCAUUGGUGUCUGUGAAUAGCUUAUGAUCGAAAACGAGACUACAAGCUCUGAGACAAGUUAAAAAUAUAUUCUUUAAGGUCUUAACCUCAGAGAUUAGGUCAAAAUCUGUUCUUUCUCGUCUUGAGUCUUAAGGAUUUCGCUCUGGUAAGCUUAUCAAAGCUCUCUGCUUUAUGAUUUUCCCGUGAAAAUAAAUUGAGAAGCUUUCAUUUUUACCAUUUUUGUUCUUCAAUUUCUCACAUUUUUGUUCUUCAAUUUCUCUAUACAGCGGUCUAUAUCUGUACAGCGGUCUAUAUCUGUACAGUGAUCUACAUCCGUACAAUGUUCUAUAAUAUAAAAUUUAAAACAUUUUAAACAAAAUGCAUAUCAAAUGAUAGAGAAAAAAACAUAGAUUUUUAUUUAUAUGAUCAAUUUUAGAAAAAUAAAAUUUACUAAUGAGCACUUUAGUUAUUAAACAUUGAGGGAAUGUGUAAUAAAGAAAAAAAAGAAAUUUUUAAAAAAAACUUGACCCACUAAAUAUGCCCCACAUGUCUCUCUCUCUCUAACCCAACCAAAACCGACUAUAUUACUAAUUGUGAAUAGUAUAUGUACUACUUCUAUAAUUAAAUUUCAGAAACGUACUAGUCUUCAAACAAACUCUUUUUGUUUUUGGGCACGUGUUGACCAGAAGAAGUUUAUUGAGAAAGAGACUAAGGAAAAUGGUGUCGAAGUUUCAUCAACUCCUGAAAAUGCGAUGCUUAAGAGAAGUCAAUGGAAAUUAGAGUUGUUGAAACAAGGUACAUUCACGUGCCUUGUUUUUCUUCUUAAUGUUCAACUCAUAUUCAAUCAACUUCUGAUACAUAUAGAUUGAAUUUGUAUUUGGUGUACUUGUCUCAAACCAUUUAACUUUUAUUGAUUUAGUUGUUAGACCAGCACGCAAACAAAAACUAAAAGAAUUCUCACAUGGUUAGGGAAACAAUACAGAUCCCAAUAUAA